Molecule: long non-coding RNA, 225 nt
Filed under: Daucus carota (carrot)
Lineage: Eukaryota; Viridiplantae; Streptophyta; Magnoliopsida; Apiales; Apiaceae
Description: long non-coding RNA (DCAR_LNC007554)
Source: RNAcentral
UACUUUAUUAAUAGAUGUGCCAACUCCGCACUUGCAUAAGUAUGAUGGUUUGCUUAUUGUAAGCUAAUCUUCACCACAUCUUUAAUUAUCCUUAGAAUGUUAGUUCCAUCUAAUUAACAUCAUUAUUAUUUCUAUAGACAAUCUCGAGGAUAUUGAAAGAGAAGAUAUCGAUGUUGUCGAGUCGGAAUUCUGAACCAGCUAUUGAAGUCCCUUUUUUUCCUGCAG